RNAcentral lists this ribosomal RNA (506 nucleotides) under uncultured bacterium. RNAcentral describes it as "partial 16S ribosomal RNA". It matches the Rfam family "Bacterial small subunit ribosomal RNA", at positions 29 to 523 of the family's 1533-position model. The record is from RNAcentral.
AGUGAACGCUGGCGGUAGGCCUAACACAUGCAAGUCGAACGGCAGCACAGGAGAGCUUGCUCUCUGGGUGGCGAGUGGCGGAAGGGUGAGGAAUACAUCGGAAUCUACUCUGUCGUGGGGGAUAACGUAGGGAAACUUACGCUAGUACCGCAUACGACCUACGGGUGAAAGCAGGGGAACUUCGGGCCUUGCGCGAUUGAAUGAGCCGAUGUCGGAUUAGCUAGUUGGCGGGGGAAAGGCCCACCAAGGCGACGAUCCGUAGCUGGUCUGAGAGGAUGAUCAGCCACACUGGAACUGAGACACGGUCCAGACUCCUACGGGAGGCAGCAGUGGGGAAUAUUGGACAAUGGGCGCAAGCCUGAUCCAGCCAUACCGCGUGGGUGAAGAAGGCCUUCGGGUUGUAAAGCCCUUUUGUUGGGAAAGAAAUCCAGCUGGCUAAUACCCGGUUGGGAUGACGGUACCCAAAGAAUAAGCACCGGCUAACUUCGUGCCAGCAGCCGCCGUAA